Molecule: long non-coding RNA, 2017 nt
Organism: Corticium candelabrum
Lineage: Eukaryota; Metazoa; Porifera; Homoscleromorpha; Homosclerophorida; Plakinidae
Exons: 3
Source: RefSeq, a predicted model, not a curated record
AUUCACCUGACCGAAGCAGUGUCCAAGUUUGUUUGCCUCUAGAAUAGUAAGUCGUAUGUAUUGUAUUAGUCAAAAAUACAUCAGACUAUACACUGCUGUUUGUGGCGAGAAAUUGUUUUAGUGAAUGGUCCAUCAGUCUGUACUCAGCUGUUGUGGUGUAUCACUUGCCAUAAUUAAUACUUGUCCAUAUGGCAAUAAUGUGUGGGUUGCAUGUCUGUUUAACUAAUUUGGUGAGCAAUACCUAAAAGAUAUAUAAGUAAAUUUUUUGAGCAUGUUCUCAGUUGGACAUGUGCACUUGAGGCAAUCUCAAGUGAGGUAGGUUUUACAUUGCAUCUGUGCACGUAACAUUUUAUGUUCUCUGUCAAGGAAAUCAACUUCAAUCGCCAGUAAGCCUUUUUUAGUGAGGUUUAUUGAUUGGGCAUGCGCAAAGGUCUAUGGACAAAACUGCAGAAAGUCUGUCUAUUUAGUUGUUGAUUGACAUGUACAGCCAUUGUUGCUUUAGAAAAGCCAUGACUAAUUAGAGUAGAUUCUAGGUGCUAGUUUUCCAAUGAGACAUGCUCUUUCAGGUCACAUGCACAGAGCAAUAAACUCUGAUCUGGCUUGAAGUGCAAUGUACUUGUGGAGUAAGGCUGCAUUGUAGCAACCUCAAUUUUGUACAACUUGAAACUUCAGCCAGAAAAACUCUGACUCUGCGGUCUGUGCAAUGCAUCUACACACGCAACGUUUUGAUUAUUUUAAUUCAGACGCUAGGAAUACUUCAGUCAGCUUUGCAUUCAGUGCAAAUUAGAGCUUUGAAGUUAUUGCAAUUACUACUGUUUGAAAAAGUCUUCUUUUUCUAAGUGUAUGAAACGCACAUGAGCUAGUGGGACUGUGCUUUUUAAGCUUACAAUAUUAGCUAGUUGUUGAAAAGUCUGCAAUUGUGUGUAGCCGUAUUAGACUGUGCACUUUUAUUAGUAGUUAGAAUAGAGAUGUUUAGUAAAUAUCUGUAGUGCAUUGGGUGAUAUAUGUAACCUAAAGUUUUAGAUUUAGUAAUGCCACAAUAUAUUUUAGUAAUUAUUGUCAUAUUUGAUUGUUCUUUGUACAAGCAGUCACUGUUACAUAUCGACAACGUUCUGGAGCAGCUCCAUCUGCAGUGAAUCGCGAAAGUUUUCCAUCACCUGAUGAUUUACUUCUGGAGUCUUCAAUGAAUUCUGCAGCCACCACAGGACAUUCUAGCAGUGGUAGUGCUAGAACUUCUACACCUGAAUCACCAUCUCCAGCAUCAAUGCUCAAUAGUUCCUUUUUGGCAGCUCCUGUCGCAAGUGACCUAUGUAAGUCAUUUGUUCUUCCAAGUAACUUCUCGCCGGAAGUAGAAGCUGCUCUCAAAGAACAAGCAAUGACUGUUCGAACAACUGCAGCAUUGAUCACUGCAAUUGCUAGGGCUAUGUUUGCUCUGAAGAAGUACCCAACGUCAGAAGAAUAUACUUACGUUGCAUGCUGCAUCGUGGCCAAGUAUCCUUUUCUGAAGUCUCCACUUGGAAAUGGUUAUAGUCAAAUUGUGAUGCGGUUGAAAGAGACUUAAAAUUUUCGCCGGCCUGCAGCAUCUGCUGAAGUUGUUAGUCCUGCUACUGUUUGCUCUUCAGCUUCUGAGCCAAUGAAGAAAAGACGCAAGCAAAGUUGUCGAUGGGACACUCUUCCUCAGGUGCGGAAUGGAGAGGAUGAGUGAUCGUAUAAACGGCAUGUGAAGUCCUUGAAAGCGGAAUGGUUGAAGAGAAACCCAAACAGUGCGUUUGUGGAACAACUGAUGAAGUUAACGUAUCCGCAACGAAGAAGGUGGAUACUGUCUGAGUCACACAUUGCCGCAACAAUACUGGAUCAAUGUCCAUUUUUGGCCAAUGUUGAACAUCUUGGAUGUGAAUUUAGUCGUAUUAUGGCAGAUGAAAAGGACCAGUCAAAUUUCUUGAUGGCACUUUCUGCGAAGUGGUGUGAAUCAUGUUAUAGAAUACUCAAUCAAGGACAACUAGAGGUGAAGGCAGGU